CGCGUAGGUGGUUAGGUAAGCGAGAUGUGAAAGCCCCGGGCUUAACCUGGGAACGGCAUUUCGAACUGUCUGACUAGAGUAUGGUAGAGGGUAGUGGAAUUUCCUGUGUAGCGGUGAAAUGCGUAGAUAUAGGAAGGAACACCAGUGGCGAAGGCGGCUACCUGAACCAAUACUGACACUGAGGUGCGAAAGCGUGGGGAGCAAACA
Molecule: ribosomal RNA, 207 nt
Filed under: uncultured bacterium
Lineage: Bacteria
Description: partial 16S ribosomal RNA
Rfam family: Bacterial small subunit ribosomal RNA
Source: RNAcentral